Pseudomyrmex gracilis is the source of this 2978-nucleotide long non-coding RNA. RefSeq lists it as uncharacterized. NCBI's taxonomy places the organism in Eukaryota, Metazoa, Arthropoda, Insecta, Hymenoptera, Formicidae. The record is from RefSeq and is a predicted model, not a curated record. The transcript is spliced from 2 exons.
ACAUAUAUAUUAUUGUUCUCGCAUGUACAUUUGUAAACGGACUGGAGAUCGGGACGGCGCGUUGUAUUUUUUGUACAUGCACACGUGAGAAAGAAAGGUGGAAAAAAGGGCUGGAAGGUGAGAAAAAAAAGAAAAAGAAAAAAUCGCAAUUUAAGAUUAUAUAAUUCGUUGAUAAAACACUGAUAUCGUAGUGUGUUGUUAUACUCCUUUCCUCUCCCGAGAGUUACACAGUCACGGAAAGCCAGUGUUUGUUAUAUAAGAUACAUAUAGAUUAGAUUAUUGCGGUUAUAUGUGCACGGAGGAGAUGUAUCUAAUCUAAUGCGAUUAUAAGCGCGUGUCAGCCAAUCAGCAAGUAAUAAAUAUUGUAAGAACAUGAAGUGUGAACUGGACGACUCCAGUGAAGCCAGAGACGCAGGAUCAAUAACGCGGGCAAUAACGGAUUUACAUUUUGCAUAGACGCAGCCCUAUCGCCUUACAGACAGCGUGUCUCUCUUAAAGAAUUGAAACCAGGCAGGGCUUCCUUUGGUGGUUGCGCGGCAGCGGUGAUUGCGGCGGCAGCCUCUUAAACCGGCUCUGACGCGAACAAACGUCGCAGCGUAUCGAUAGGAGCAACACGAUGAAGCGAAAUAAUUUAAACAAAGAUUUGGCUGUGUCGAUGUCAUAACGUCUGUAUAUUUUGAUUUUCUAUCGUUCCUUCUUUUUUGUACCUUUAUCUAAAUCGCGAGCUUUCAAGGAAGAUAACAAAAGAGCGAGAAUACGCGGAUUACGAGACAGAAUUCGAGGUGUGGAAGCGAGAGUGGGAAAGCGAGGACAAAGAUAAAAGCGAGAGAAACAGGACGAAAGAGAGAGAAAGAGCGGAGAGAAAGGUGUGUAAGUAUGCGUGUGCAAACGAGAAAAGCUUGUUUUUAUCGCAUUUAACGUUCGGUAGUGGUUGAAUCUUCCCACAGAGGAACAUUCGAGAAACACUCGCUUUGUUAUGUUUCACGCGGCACAGGUAACAAAUGCGACCACACGUGUUAAAUUUGCGACGAAAGGAGUUUUAACGUCGAGGAGGGUACAGAGGAGGGCGGGGGGAGGAAGGGAAAAAGGGAAGUUGUUUCGCCGUUUUAUUUCCGACAAGUAAAAACUGCUGCGAAUAAUAUUGAGAACUUUCUAUUUUGUCACACAAACCGGACGUGUAUGAUAAACGUUAUUUCGUGAAAAAUCGAAGAACAACUCACAGUCAACACAAACAACGUCGCUUUUUUGUAACGACCGUUCACGAUAUAAAGAUAAACUUUUUCCGGAGUUGAUGCGCGCAUCAAGGAAGAUGCGCAACAACACUUUUUGAUCAUGUAGAUGUCCUUUUCAAAAUUUUGAUAUCCAUAUUAUAUAUACAACUAAACUUAUACAACCAUGUACAACCACCGACUGUUAAAUAAAGCCGUGGCCGACUGGGACAUUUGUAUGCGUUUACAACUUUAGCAGCGAGCUCGGACUGAUCGAUACUCACACACUCGAAACAAACAAAAACCGUAGACUGCACGAUUUCAUUUUCUCUUGGAUUACCACAGAGAGAGAGAGAGAGAGAGAGAGAGAGAGAGAGAGAGAGAGAGAGAGAGAGAGCGAGAGAAAGAGAGAAAGAGAAAGAGUUAGACGGGAGAAAUGCUUUUCGUCUCGUAAGCGUGUUCGAAACUAACGGGAUUAAUACGUGCACGUGUUGAUGAAUAUCAUCGUCUUUUCAUGCGGACCAGAAUAGAUAACUGCAAAGCAACUUAACGCGAUCAAUUUCUAAUAUAUAGCUGUUUCAAAAAGUGUACUUUUAGUAGUGACAACUAGAGUAAAAAAAAAAAAAACAAACAAACAAACAAAAAAUGUAAACACGUACACGUUGUCUUGAACCACAUUCAGGCGAAAUGAGAAAGACGAUUACAAUUAUUCUAAAUUGUUGUUUGAGAGACUUUUUGAUUUUGAAACCUAAAAAUUGUUACACAAUAUCGAACUUGGCUUAAAAUCGAUGUUAAAAAUAAAAAUUACACUUACUUGAAAUAUUAAUAUCUCGUCGAGAAAUAACAAAUGCGCGUUUAAAGUUUUUAAUAUAAAUUAUAUGAGGAACACACACACACAGAGUUGUGCGCUACUGUUAUGCAGUUUUUGAGAACAUCUAUAUCUUGCUCGUUUAUAUACAAUAUGAAGAUAGAGCACAAGGAGCACAUUUUUUGAUUGUUCGCCAGAUCGGCGUUUACGACGACUAUUACGAUAGCUAAUAUUAUAACGUGUGUAUGAAAUACGAUCGUGAUUUAUAGUAAGGUCACUAUUUUUUUCCGCGAAACUUUCUCAUUUUCAUACGAAUCAUCGUUCUUUCAUCACACAUCCCCGAUCACAUUUCGCGCAUUACCAAUUUCUCAUCAUACUUCGUCGCGAACGACAAUUCGCACAAUUCACAGACUUUGGAAUACAUGAAAAAAAAAAAAAAAUGUACAUGCUUUUGCACUAAAAACCUUAUAAGACUGACAGUUUUUUAUAUGAAUAUAAAUAAAAACGGAGCAGAGGAGAUGAAGAAGAUUUCAAACAAAAUUACAAAAAUUACGUUUGCGUAUUUUGUACAUUGUAAGAUCGUGUAAUAAGCUAAACGAGAAAACAAAACAAAUUGUAAACUGCGAGAGAUCAUUUUUUUUUUCACUGUAGAGAGAAAGAGAGAGAAAGAAAAAGAGAGAGAGAGAAGUUCGUAUUUCGAAAAUAUAAUCACACAGCCCACAGUUUUCUAAUGAUACACAAUUUUUGGCAAAGGGAGAAAGUGUCACUUAUUGUCUGUGUUACACACAAGUUUUCGAACAAAACAGAUCAAAAUUUCUAUACUCUGCGAAAAGUAUCCGUAUGGUUAAAAACAAAAACGCGCCGAGGUUAUAAUAAUUCUUAUCUCGAUAUUUUUCACUCUCUAGAGAUCUGUAUGUUUCGCGGAAAACGAAAAAAAAAAAAAAUUAGUAACGUCUCGAGAG